Molecule: ribosomal RNA, 2115 nt
Filed under: human gut metagenome
Description: bacterial LSU rRNA
Rfam family: Bacterial large subunit ribosomal RNA
Source: RNAcentral
AGAAGAUACUAAGGGCGCACGGCGGAUGCCUUGGCACAGGAAGUCGAAGAAGGACGCGGCAAGCUGCGAUAAGCUCCGGGGAGGCGCAAACGGCCUUCGAUCCGGAGAUCUCCGAAUGGGGGAACCCAGCAGGGGUCAUGCCCUGCUACCCGCGCCUGAAUGAAAUAGGGCGCGAGGAGGCAACCCGGGGAACUGAAACAUCUAAGUACCCGGAGGAAGAGAAAUCAACCGAGAUUGCGGGAGUAGCGGCGAGCGAAACCGCACCAGCCCAAACCCAUGCACGUGCAAGCUUGAGGGCGUUGCUGCAUGAGGGGUUGUGGGACCGCGCAUUCCAUGGGCCUCAGACCAUGGACGCAGUUACAAAUCCGCGCGGAAGCGGAACGGCCUGGGAAGGCCGGCGGAACAGGGUGAGAGCCCCGUACGCGAAUCCGCGCGGACUGCGAGUGCGGCGCCCGAGUAGCGCCGGGCACGUGAAACCCGGUGCGAACCUGGGGGGACCACCCUCCAAGGCUGAACACUCUCCUGUGACCGAUAGCGAACCAGUACCGUGAGGGAAAGGUGAAAAGCACCCCGAGAGGGGAGUGAAACAGUACCUGAAACCGUGCGCCUACAAGCAGUCGGAGCCCCCGAGCGGGGUGACGGCGUGCCUUUUGUAGAAUGAGCCAGCGAGUUGCGGUAUGCGGCGAGGUUAAGGUUUGAACCGAGCCGCAGUGAAAGCGAGCCUUUAAGAUGGCGAUAGAGUCGCAUGCUGCAGACGCGAAGCCGGGUGAGCUAUCCAUGGGCAGGCUGAAGCGGGGGUAAGACCCCGUGGAGGGCCGAACCCACUUCGGUUGAAAACGGAGGGGAUGACCCGUGGAUAGGGGUGAAAGGCCAAUCAAACCCGGAGAUAUCUCGUUCUCCCCGAAAUAGCUUUAGGGCUAGCCUCGGCCGUUCUCCGACGGCGGUAGAGCACUGGAUCGUCGAGGGGGCUUCACCGCCUACCGACACGAACCAAACUCCGAAUGCCGCCGGAUCAGAGGCCGGGAGUCAGAACAUGUGGGCUAAGCUGUGUGUUCGAGAGGGAAACAGCCCAGACCGCCCGCUAAGGUCCCCAAGUUCAUGCUGAGUGGCAAAGGAUGUGCGUUUGCCUAGACAACCAGGAUGUUGGCUUAGAAGCAGCCAUGCAUUUAAAGAGUGCGUAACAGCUCACUGGUCAAGUGGACAUGCGCCGACAAUUCACGGGGCUAAGCAUGGUACCGAAGCGGCGGACUAAUCUAUAUUAGUGGUAGGGGAGCUUUCCCCGCAGCGGAGAAGCCGAGAGGGCGACCCUCGGUGGAGCGCGGGGAAGUGAGAAUGCUGGCAUGAGUAACGAGAGCGGCGCGAGAAACGCCGCCGCCGUAAGCCUAAGGGUUCCUGGGCAAGGCUAAUCCUCCCAGGGUCAGUCGGGAGCUAAGGCGAGGCCGAGAGGCGUAGCCGAUGCGCAACAGGCGGACAUUCCUGUACCGCCUGCGGACCGCUAUCACCGACGGGGUGACGGAGAAGGGUAGCCGAGCGGGGUUCUGGACGUCCCCGUGAAAGCGCGUAGGGAGCAUCGCAUGGAAAUCAGCGGCGCACGUAUCCUGAGACGCGAGACGAAAGCUUAUGCUGAAGUCGGCGAGCCCAUGCUUCCGAGAAAAACCUCUAGGAAGGGACGCAGGCGCCCGUACCAAAACCGACACAGGUGGGCAGGUAGAGCAUACCGAGGCGAUCGGGAGAACCAUGGUUAAGGAACUCGGCAUACUGACUCCGUAACUUCGGGAGAAGGAGUGCCCCUGGCGGUGACGGGACUAGCUCCCCGAGCGGCCGGGGGUCGCAGCGAAACGGCCCAAGCGACUGUUUAUCAAAAACACAGGACUCUGCAAAGCCGUAAGGCGACGUAUAGGGUCUGACGCCUGCCCGGUGCUGGAAGGUUACGCGGAUGGGUCAGCCGCAAGGCGAAGCUCUGAAGCCAAGCCCCAGUAAACGGCGGCCGUAACUAUAACGGUCCUAAGGUAGCGAAAUUCCUUGUCGGGUAAGUUCCGACCUGCACGAAUGGCGUAACGAUUUGGGCGCUGUCUCAACCAUGGACCCGGUGAAAUUGUAUUAUUCGUGAAGAUG